Molecule: unclassified non-coding RNA, 329 nt
Filed under: plant metagenome
Description: partial contains 5.8S ribosomal RNA, internal transcribed spacer 2, and large subunit ribosomal RNA
Rfam family: 5.8S ribosomal RNA (bases 1-105)
Source: RNAcentral
GAAAUGCGAUAAGUAAUGUGAAUUGCAGAAUUCCGUGAAUCAUCGAAUCUUUGAACGCACAUUGCGCCCUCUGGUAUUCCGGGGGGCAUGCCUGUCCGAGCGUCAUUGCGCACCCCUCAAGCACGGCUUGUGUGAUGGGCCCUCCCGCGUCUUGGUCGUCAGGACGGGCCCGAAAAGCAGUGGCGGCUUCGCGGUUAUCCGAUCAGCCAGAGCGUAUGGGGACUUUCUCUCUGUCACACGCCCGCGGCGCGGACCGACGCCUGUCGACCUUUAUUCAUCUUUUUCUCGGUUGACCUCGGAUCAGGUAGGGAUACCCGCUGAACUUAAGC